AGCGAACGCUGGCGGCAGGCUUAACACAUGCAAGUCGAGCGGGCGUAGCAAUACGUCAGCGGCAGACGGGUGAGUAACGCGUGGGAACGUACCUUUUGGUUCGGAACAACACAGGGAAACUUGUGCUAAUACCGGAUAAGCCCUUACGGGGAAAGAUUUAUCGCCGAAAGAUCGGCCCGCGUCUGAUUAGCUAGUUGGUGAGGUAACGGCUCACCAAGGCGACGAUCAGUAGCUGGUCUGAGAGGAUGAUCAGCCACAUUGGGACUGAGACACGGCCCAAACUCCUACGGGAGGCAGCAGUGGGGAAUAUUGGACAAUGGGCGCAAGCCUGAUCCAGCCAUGCCGCGUGAGUGAUGAAGGCCCUAGGGUUGUAAGCUCUUUUGUGCGGGAAGAUAAUGACGGUACCGCAAGAAUAA
Molecule: ribosomal RNA, 416 nt
Filed under: uncultured bacterium
Lineage: Bacteria
Description: bacterial SSU rRNA
Rfam family: Bacterial small subunit ribosomal RNA
Source: RNAcentral